CACAAACGCAGGGCCACAAAUCCUUGGUGUUUCAGGUGCUGCCUCAGAAGAUAGUUUUUCUGGAAGUCUGUGGCCACCCACUCAGCCUGCUCUAAGGACCACCUCUCCUGGUGCCCUCCAUCACCCAAAUCCAUGAAGCCAACUUUAUUACACUUUCAUCGUUGCCUUUUACAAGACUCCUCCUGCGUAGCUGAGAUUACAAGUAUGCACUGCCGUACCCCACACUUACAGUUAAAAGAAAAGGU
RNAcentral lists this long non-coding RNA (245 nucleotides) under Fukomys damarensis (Damara mole-rat). RNAcentral's name for it is "lncRNA (ENSFDAG00000030827.1)". The record is from RNAcentral. Lineage: Eukaryota; Metazoa; Chordata; Mammalia; Rodentia; Bathyergidae.